UUCACCCAAGUGGAGGGCCUUCAAGUCACCUCCUAGCUCAUUGGAUCUUCCUUGUGAUUUUCUUCCUUUUGAUGCUCCUUUGCUCCUUGAGGAUGUGAGGAAAGGAUCUCCAAAAACACCAAAGAUUUGGUGUCUCUAAGUCUCCAUGCCAAGGAUGAGGUGUGAAGAUGAAAUGGAUGACUUAGAGAAGAAAAGAUUGCUAGCUAUAUCUUCUCUAAGUGGCCGGCCUCCUUUAGAGAAAAAGAGAGAAAAUGUUUCUCAUCUUUGCCUCAAGAAAACCCUAACUCGAUUACUCUUUCAAGCACCUAUUUGUUUGUCUUAGUGUCCAACACUAAAUGACUUAAGACUAACCAUACUCACGCUUGAGUUGACAUAACACAUACUAACCUUAGCGGAUUGUCAAUGCCUAAUUGGCAAUCCUAUGGCCAUGAAUGUUUUAGGAAUGAACAUAAGAGAAAGGUCUCGUUAAUCUAACUUAUUUAAAUCACUUCUCUCUUAGAUCAAAUACAUUCCUUGGAUUCCCUUAUUGCUUAAACACAUGAUACAAUAAAUAGUGAUUAACAAUAAGCUUUGCCCUUCAUUAAACAUAUAAUAGUUUAAUACAAUAAGUAUUCCAAAAGCUAUUACAUCAAAUGAGUGGCUUUGUGGGCAUACUUCCAACAGUUGAACCCUAACAAAUAUGCCUUCGGCGUAGGCUCUAGCAAAUUCUUAGGCUUCAUGAUAACCCAACGAGGCAUUAAGGUUAAUCUCGAGAAGAUCAAAGUAAUCAUCGACAUGAAGGAACCGGUAACUUCAAAAGACAUCCAGAGCCUUACUGGCAAGGUGGUAGGCUUAACUAGGUUCAUCUCUAAGGCCACAGACAGAGAUGUGUUCAUUUCUUCAAAGCACUUAAAGGAAGUAAGAAGUACAUUACUUAGACUGAUGAAUAUGCCGAGGCAUUCAAGAACCUCAAAGGCUACAUGAGUAAAGCCCAUUUGCUUUCCAAACCUGAGGUUGGUGACACUCUUAUUAUCUAUCUGUCGGUAUCGGCUUCAGCAGUAAGUUCCGUUCUCAUUCGAAAGGAUGGUAAUGUUGCACGGCCAGUCUACUAUACUAGCAAGGCCUUACAAGAUAUAAAGACACGAUAUUCCAACAUUGAGAAAUUGGCUUUAGCAUUGGUCAUGUCUGCUCGAAAACUUCGCCCUUACUUCCAAGCACACUCCAUUAUCGUGCUUACUAAUCAUCAUUUUCGACAGAUACUUCAAAGUCCUGACACUUCGGGGCGAAUGAUAAAAUGGGUGAUAGCAUUGGGUGAGUUUGACAUCUCCUACCAACCAAAGCCAGCUGAGAAGGGCCAAACAGUGGCAGACUUCAUCACUGACUUCACAUAUUCUGUUGACAUUGUUUAUACGCCUAAAGAAGUGGUUUCAUUACCAUCGAAAGCUCAGAAAAAAGAACCAACAUCCCCAGCAUGGAGUCUAUAUGUUGAUGGCUUGUCCAACCAACAGGGUUGUGGAGCAGGACUAGUCUUUACGACCCUUGACAAAGUGGUGAUGGAGUAUGCUCUUUGUUUCAAAUUUAAGGCGUCGAACAAUGAAGCUGAAUAUGAAGCCCUUCUAGCAGGCUUACGUUUGGCCAAACACCUUGGGGUUAAACGAAUUAAUAUCUUCAGUUACUCCCAAUUGGUGGUUAACCAGGUCGCCAACAACUUUGACGCUAAGGAUAGCUUCAUGGCAGCAUAUCUGGCACAAACACAAUUGUUGCUCAAGCAUUUGCACUACUAGAUCACCCAAAUUCCUCGAGCGGCAAAUAGCCAUGCAGAUGUUUUGACUCGCCUCGCCUCAGUGGUGGAAAACAAGAUUGGGAGAAAAAUUCAGGUCGAAUUGUUGGCAGCACCAAGCACCAUGGCUGCGGAAGUGUGCAACUUACAACAGGGGGAUACUUGGAUUACUGAUAGGAGCAUAUUUAUGCGACUUAGUUAGCUUGUUUCUUGGCAUUUAUGUUGUUAGUUCAUAGUUAUUUUAGUAUUUUAAGCUAUUUUCGUGUGUUUGUAGGUCCAAAGGGUUAAUGUGGCAAAGAAGUGCAUUUUUGGGCAUUUUUGGGCAUGGAAUGGAUAACAUAUGCUUGGAGCAAAAGGAAUGGACGAAAUUUGAAGUUUGUGCACCAUCCUCUCCCUAUAAAUAACCAUUUUAGCACACUCAUUUCACCCAACACAGCCACUCAUUACAACCACCCAACACAUUCACCUACCACUACAUCCACUCAUUUCACCCAACACAUCCAUUCACCUACCACUACAUCUACUCAUUUCACCUAACACAUCCACUCAUUUCACCCAACACAUCCACUCAUUUCACCCAACACAUCCACUCAUUACAACCACCCAACACAUUCACCUACCACUACAUCCACUCAUUUCACCCAACACAUCCACUCAUUACAACCAUCCAACACAUUCACCUACCACUACAUCCACUCAUUUCACCCAACACAUCCAUUCACCUACCACUACAUCCACUCAUUUCAACCACCCAACACAUUCACCUAUCACUACAUCCACUCAUUACCAUCACCCACUAUAUCCUCUCCCUAGCCUAUAAAUAUAUCCAUCCAAAGACACAUCCAGGGGGACAGUUUAGGGAGAAAAGAGGAAGACACAUUCUGCCGCAAGGCAGAGUCUUUUCUUCUUAACCAUUCUACACAUUCCCACAACAAAAACACAAUUCUAUGCACCUUCAUUUCCCUUUCCUUGCCGUGACCUCCAUCCAACCUAAACACAUUCAGCCAUUCCCUUCCAUAUAUCCAUAUGCAUCCAUCAAACCACACCUUGUGCUACAACAAAGGGAAGAAGGAGGACCCUUGGACGUGCUUGCCAUUCAAGUUGGAUUGUUGGAGCGUUUUUAGGUGUUUUCAUUCUUUUGUUUUCAAUGUCUAAAUUUGUUUAUCUUUGCUUUGUGAGUAUGAGGAACUAAACCCCCCUUAGCUAGGGGGGAAUUCAAAGCCAUGAACAUACUUGCAAUAUGAAUUGAUUACCUUCAGUUGUGAUUUCAUAAGUUGUGAAUUCAAUUUGUUUAACUGCUUGAUUGAUAACUUAUUUGUGUAUGUUUAUUAAAAGUGCACACUUAGUUUGCAUGCAUGAAUGUGAUGCUAGAGUAUAAGGGAGUUUUACCUAAUAGUUACAAACUUAUAUUCACAAGUAGUGGAGGUCGCUUAUAAACGAUCGCGUUAAAUGAAUUCUUGGUAGGAGUUUCAUGCUCAUCAUAGUAACGAAUGCCUCGUCAAUACUUAUAGUUUUCAUAAUGCUUAAUGAUCUUUGAUUGUAUCUUUAUUGUGCGAAAGGGACUUUUGAAGAAUGCUUGAAUUGUUGUAUGCGCUUUUCCAUCCAAUUCAAUAACUUAAGGAGAACUUAAAGGUUAAUUUAAGCCGACUUAAUUAACCUGGGGUGUUGAGUUUCAUGAUUUAUCGAAAGAACAAUUGAAAAUUGGUUUAUGUGCAAGUGUGUCAUGUGUGGAGAAGAACCCUCUAGCUAGCCCAUCAUCCAUAGUUUACCCAAAUUCUUCGAAAAUCUGUUUUAGUUUACAAUCUGUUUGUUUUGUUUUCAAAUUCGUCAAAAUCAAAUCCCCCUUUACUUUAAAGUGUUUUAUUAGUCAAAAUCUGUUUUGAUUUGUGUUUUUAAGUGUCUUGAGUCAAGUUAGAACCUAAUUUUGUCCAAAACCAUCCCUAGAGUCAGUUUAGAGUCUAAUUCAUUGUUUUAAGCUGUUUUGAGUCUUUUAAACUAGUUUUGAGUCUUUUUAGUUUGUGUUGCAUCUUUUGAAUCUAGUUUGGUGUUUUAAACUUAAUUUUAUGUUUUUAAGUCAGUUUAGAAGUUAUUAGCAAGCCCUCCUAAUCCCCGGUCCAGAACAAUCCCUACUUACAUUCUUUACUACAAUUGAUUUUGUGUGUUAAGUAAAAUUCGCAUCAAAUUUUUGGCGCAGUUGCUGGGGAUUAGCAACUUUGCUAAUCCCUUGUUAUUUCUUUUUGUAUAUUUUUGUGUCUUUUGUUUUUAGUUACUGACUUUGUUUCUGUUUGUGUUUUUUGUUUGUUUGUUUUACUUUUGAUAUUUGAUUUAGUUUUGUUUCCUUGAUUUUAGGUACUAGAGAAGUAAGACAUGGAUUUUGCUACCAUUCAAGCUCAAUUGGCAAAACUUACUUGUCAAUUGUCACAAUAUCCCGAAAGGACCACAAUGCAAAGUGUCCCUACAUAUGGUAUGUCCUAUGGGCAAGGAUAUCCAACUCAUUAAUGUUUUCAAUUCGCUGCGAAUGAAGAUGCUUGGGGUUAUCAAAGCCAUAGCCAAUCAUGGGACAACAUGUUUUCCAACGCUUACAAUUCGGAUUUGAGAGAUUAUUCAGAUUACAUGUAGGGAGAACCUCAAUAAUUCCAACAAGAUGAAUAUUGGCAGCAAGAAGAGGAGUUCUAUUUAAGACCUAUGCAACCACCACAACCUCCUUCACAACAAUUCCAAUCAAAUUCAAGUAUGCCUAUGAGUUAUGAUGAAAAUCUUAAUGUACUAACCUCGUUGACGCAGGGCUCAUAACAAGAAGAAUAUUUGCUGCCAUCGGAUGAGUUCUAUCACUGGCCAUAUGAACCAUCACAGCAACCACAACAAUCUGCCCAAUUCAAUUCAGGUACGUUUUUGGAUAAUGAUAUGUUUAAUAAGUUACUCACCUCUUUGAACUAGGAAGUAGAAAAUCGAAACAAAGAGAUGCAAAAUUAAGCCAAGAAGACGGGUGAAUUGGAGAAGCAAAUUGGGUAGAUUAUGAAGUUCAUCGCACAAAUUCAAGAGCAAAGUGAACUCUCCAACUCAACUAUUGAAAAUUUGAAGGAAGAUUUUGAAAUCUAUGAUGCUAUCACUUUGGGAAGUGCUAUGGAGGUUGGAGGUGAACCCAAGACAUCCAAACCAAGCCAAAACAUGGAUGAACAACUGUUGCUCAAAGAAGAGGAGAAUAGCAAGGCCACGGCAAGGGAAGAACCACCCUUGCCGCAUCCCCAUAUGCCCUCUAUGCCAUCCACUACAACCAAGGUAAGCCUAAAUUCAAUUUGUCCUGACCCCGUUUCACCAAAUUUCCUUAUUCCUUGCAGGAUCAUGCAAUCCAAUGAAGAAGAGGGUGAGAAAGGCUUAUUCGAAACCUUUCCAAAGAAUCAAGAGCAAGAAGUGGAUGGGGAGUGUCUAGAAUUCAUCAAAGAAGAUACACUUGAGACGAAAAUUCCCAAAGAAGUUGGAUUUUAUGACACAGGAAAAGUCAUAACUCUCAAAACACCAAAUCUGGCCAAGUCCCAUAUCAUUGAUGUGGUGUUCGUAAUUGAGUUUGUGUUGGAGCAAGCAAGUAAGCCAUCUUCUCCAACUUCGAUUUUAUUAUAUACUAACUUGCUGAUUUUGAUGAUUCAGGCACCUACACUAGAAUUUAAACCAUUGCCGGAUCACGUCAAGUAUCACCUUCCAUUCAAGGAUCAAUUCCAUGCUCUGGGCCCUAUCCAAGUUUAGAAGGAAGUUUCAUCCGGCUGGAAGACGUUAAAGCAAGCGCUUCUUGGGAGGCAACCCAUGUAUUCAAAUAAGGAAGAUUUUUGAAUUACUCUACGAUUGGUUUUGCGUUCCUAAAAACCAUCUCUUUUCUGCAGUUUUUUUUGCCAUGAUUGUCAUUUUAUUUGUUGCUUGUUUAAUGGUUUUUGGUGUGGGUUUAUUUUUGAAACAUUGACAGAUAUGCAAGGUAUUUUACAUUCAUUUUCAUAAAAAAAAAGGAACAUUAAGCAGAAAAAUACAAGAGAGAGCCUUCACAAAGGCUGCUUAGGAGAAGUCUCAGUAGUCGGCGGAGCCCCAGAAGGAGGAGGCAUCUGAGGUUGAUCAUUUGGAGCUUCAUUACGCGGUACAGCCCCAGAAGACGAAGGCAAAUGCUG
This 5910-nucleotide long non-coding RNA is filed under the name Malus domestica (apple). RNAcentral describes it as "long non-coding RNA (MDOM_LNC019387)". Lineage: Eukaryota; Viridiplantae; Streptophyta; Magnoliopsida; Rosales; Rosaceae. The record is from RNAcentral.